AACGAACGCUGGCGGCAUGCUUAAUACAUGCAAGUCGAACGAGAUCUUCGGACCUAGUGGCGCACGGGUGCGUAACGCGUGGGAAUUUGCCCUUGGGUACGGAACAACUUCUGGAAACGGAACCUAAUACCGGAUGAUGUCGUAACUCCAAAGAUCUAGCGCUCAAGGAUGAGCCCGCGAAGGAUUCGGUAGUUGUGAGGUAAAGGCUCACCAAUCCGACGAUCCUUAGCUGGUCUGAUAAGAUGAUCAGCCACACUGGGACUGAGACACAGCCCAGACUGCGACGGAGGGCAGCAGUAGGGAGUAUUAGGCGAUGAGCGAAAACCUGGUCCAGCAGUGCCGCGUGAGUGAUGAAGGCGUUAGGGUUGUAAAGCUCUUUUACCCGGGAUGUGAAUGACAGUACCGGGAGAAUAAGCUCCGGCUAACUCCGUG
This 432-nucleotide ribosomal RNA is filed under the name uncultured bacterium. RNAcentral describes it as "partial 16S ribosomal RNA". It matches the Rfam family "Bacterial small subunit ribosomal RNA", at positions 29 to 507 of the family's 1533-position model. The record is from RNAcentral.